Molecule: ribosomal RNA, 298 nt
Filed under: uncultured bacterium
Lineage: Bacteria
Description: partial 16S ribosomal RNA
Rfam family: Bacterial small subunit ribosomal RNA
Source: RNAcentral
AGCGAACGCUGGCGGCAGGCUUAACACAUGCAAGUCGAGCGGGCGUAGCAAUACGUCAGCGGCAGACGGGUGAGUAACGCGUGGGAACGUACCUUUUGGUUCGGAACAACACAGGGAAACUUGUGCUAAUACCGGAUAAGCCCUUACGGGAAAGAUUAUCGCCGAAAGAUCGGCCCGCGUCUGAUUAGCUAGUUGGUGAGGUAAUGGCUCACCAAGGCGACGAUCAGUAGCGGUCUGAGAGGAUGAUCAGCCACAUUGGGACUGAGACACGGCCCAAACUCCUACGGGAGGCAGCAGU